This 612-nucleotide ribosomal RNA is filed under the name Saccharomyces cerevisiae (brewer's yeast). RNAcentral describes it as "eukaryotic LSU rRNA". It matches the Rfam family "Eukaryotic large subunit ribosomal RNA", at positions 65 to 664 of the family's 3401-position model. Lineage: Eukaryota; Fungi; Ascomycota; Saccharomycetes; Saccharomycetales; Saccharomycetaceae. The record is from RNAcentral.
CCAACCGGGAUUGCCUUAGUAACGGCGAGUGAAGCGGCAAAAGCUCAAAUUUGAAAUCUGGUACCUUCGGUGCCCGAGUUGUAAUUUGGAGAGGGCAACUUUGGGGCCGUUCCUUGUCUAUGUUCCUUGGAACAGGACGUCAUAGAGGGUGAGAAUCCCGUGUGGCGAGGAGUGCGGUUCUUUGUAAAGUGCCUUCGAAGAGUCGAGUUGUUUGGGAAUGCAGCUCUAAGUGGGUGGUAAAUUCCAUCUAAAGCUAAAUAUUGGCGAGAGACCGAUAGCGAACAAGUACAGUGAUGGAAAGAUGAAAAGAACUUUGAAAAGAGAGUGAAAAAGUACGUGAAAUUGUUGAAAGGGAAGGGCAUUUGAUCAGACAUGGUGUUUUGUGCCCUCUGCUCCUUGUGGGUAGGGGAAUCUCGCAUUUCACUGGGCCAGCAUCAGUUUUGGUGGCAGGAUAAAUCCAUAGGAAUGUAGCUUGCCUCGGUAAGUAUUAUAGCCUGUGGGAAUACUGCCAGCUGGGACUGAGGACUGCGACGUAAGUCAAGGAUGCUGGCAUAAUGGUUAUAUGCCGCCCGUCUUGAAACACGGACCUCCUGUGUGAGGGAUCCCCCUAAA